AGCCACCCUCGCCCCCGCCAAAACAAACAGACAAAAAACUGUCAUUCUCAUAUGACCACGGACUCUGCGCCCCGGCCGCAGGCGGAGGACAGGGAGGAGCGCACACGAGAAAGCUCCCACGCGCCCGCGCCUCGCCUCCGACGGGAAGGCGCCUCUUCCGACCGUCCUGGAUGCAAAUUAAAUACUUCCCUCCGCAGAAGACUUAUCUCGGGGUAGGGCCGCAGCCGGAUUUCCAAAUCGCGGGUUUGAUUUUCGCUGCGUCCUCUCCGCGACGCGCGCAGGGAGCGCGCCCGGCCACCUGCAGCCUCUGGCUGCGGCCAUCUUUCCGCCUGGGGCCACCUGGCCUGCGCCCUUUGUGCCCGGCCUGCUCCGUGACUGUUCUUCUUGCCGCUACUUACAGAACUCAGCCGCCUUAGCGUCUUAGAGAAGAGGACGGCAUGCACGCGGACCCCGUCCACCACACCUGGAGAGCAGGGAGCCCUUAGUCCCUGGACACUUACCAGGGCCGCCACCCCUGGUCCACGCACGUGAUGACAUCUCACCAGGGGCAGCACACCGCCAGAGUCCGCGACACUGAUAACACCUCCUGCGGGCAGGAGGGCGCCACAGCCACCCCUGGUCCCCUAGAUUGUGUGAGGCUGGCAUUUCUGCCCGCCUCUUGGCGUGGACAGCACGCUGGACCGAGAUGGAACCACAGCUUUCUCUUCCCAAUCCCUGGCCUCACCGUUUUGUUUCAUACCUCACCGUUUGUUUCAAACCUCGUGCUGUUGAAAUGAUUAAAUGAGAUAAGGGGUGUGGUAGUGUUGGGCAAACCACAAGAAAGCGGUCUGGGUGGGGUCUGGCCCUAAAAUCCUCCUCCCCCACCUCCCAGGCUUCCUUGCCUUGCUGCUUCCUCUCAGCCUUUAAACAGGCUGGCCUCUCCAAGUCCUAAAAACAAAAUUAUCAAGCCAACCUCCUCCUGAAGUGCCCCCUCCAACUAGCUUCCAAGUGUUUCAUGCGGACCUCAAACAAUGGCCUUCCCUGGCUGCCUCUGCUUCCUCAUUUCUCAACACUUGGCAUUCUGGCUUCUCCUCCCCAACUCUAACCCUUCACCUUGCUCAGGCAAGAGUAACUCAUGACUUUCAUUUUGCCAAACCUUGCAGGCAUUCCUCAGGCCUUAUCUCUCUGGUUCUUUCUGCUACAUUUGACACCUUGGGAUGACUCUCACCUUCUGGAAUCUCUCUACUACCUUGGUUUCAGAAGAGUGAACCCUCUCGAUUAUCACAUGAAGCUACUUCCUGUGAGCAGCCCAGGGAUGGCCAGUCACUUGUGACCUACUUUCAGAGCUGGCAGUUCUGACUUCUAGAACAAACUCGGAACAAGCCCAUCUACAGCUGGUUGACUGAGUUUCCUUUGGGCUCCUGGCACCAGAAAGAAUUGCUCACUGGAAGGAUCAUAGGUGGCACUCAUGUCUCACUGCCCCACUCAGGCAACAUCAUGCACGCGGAUGAUCAACAGUCAGUUCCUGGUCAACAUAAGUAAACAAGCCUGUUUAAGAUAAAUUCCCCCACACUCCCUUGUACCUACUCCUUGCCCUCUGCCCCAGGGUUGUAGAACAGCUGCUUUCUGCUAUUCUCCCCCCAGGCUCUGCAGAACCUUCUGACCUUUCAGAAGGUUUGCAUCCUUUCCCUGUAGUUUUUCCACCGCUCUGACCAAUCCCCCACAAUGUAUAGCCUUGUAUGCAAAGCCAGGCCUGUCCAUGCAGGGUGACCAUCCAAGGUAGACAGUGGCAAAAUCUGGUGGAGGCAUCAGAGAUAGUGCCAUCAGUUUGCUGGAACAAGCAUAUCAAGGAGCCUGGCAGAUCUACACUUCACCAGACAGUGCCUGUAGCCAACAGGGCAGGCCCUUGCUCCAGGGAAACACUCAGAAAUCAAAACUCCUUGCUCUGCUGUCAGGGAACUCUCCAGGAGAUCCUCAGUGUCAUCAGAAGCUGGAAAAACAGUGCUGAGAAACGUGGCCUGCCGUCUUUCCAGCUAAGGGAGAUGGCCCGUUCGACCCUGGGUUGUCCUCUGCAAACGCGCUGCUGCAGGUUGCAUGGCACCAUCUCCUGAUUGCAAUUUGCUUUCCUGAGGGAGUGAACUGACUGAAAUUGGAUGGUAAUAAGUUGCUAGGUUAUUUUCCACUUUUUAGUUUAUGAGGCUUAUUCAUUUUGCUUUAACAUUAACCACUGCCUUCCUUUUAAGGAGCUGGUGAGGCAGUGCAUGGCAACAGGUUCAGGGUGAGGAGUGGCACCACCUCCUUUCAGUGAGGAUUUGGGAGGGGUGAAAAGCACCCUAAUCUUCUCAGCCGCAUGUGAACAAACCACCUGUCAAGGUGGGUCCUUCCUAUAGGGAGGUUGAUGUCAGCCCUUCAGGGAGGCCUCAGUUUUCUUCCUCCACUUCCUAAUCCCUUCAUUAUAAUUCCUUCCACAACAGAAUAAGUUUCUUGAGCAAUGCAGCAAUAUCCAGCAAUUUUAGAUAGACAUUUACCUUUUGACCUAGAAAUCUCACUUCUACGAAUCCAUCCUAAAGACACACUCUCAGCUGGAUGUGGUCGCUCAUGCCUGCGAUCCUAACACUCUGGGAGGCUAAAGUGGAAGAAUCUCUUGGGCUCAGGAGCUCAAGACCAGCCUGGGCAACAUAGCAAGACCCUAUCUCU
This 2676-nucleotide non-coding RNA is filed under the name Pan troglodytes (chimpanzee). The record is from RNAcentral. Lineage: Eukaryota; Metazoa; Chordata; Mammalia; Primates; Hominidae.